UCUUUUGGAAAAUAAAUGAGAUAUAGGCACUACAGACAGGCUCAGUUUCCUGGAAAGAACACUGUGCGCUACGUGGCUCUCGAUAGGCAGGUGAGGGAGGGGAAACUGAAGCCUAAAGCCUGAGAAAGUGAGCAGGGUAGUGAGGGAGGGGACCUCCCAGCAGAAAUCGGUUCAGAUCCGACCUCAGCGGGGUGCGUGCACCAGAUGUUUGCAGAGGGUGUGGAUCCGCUGCCAGGCUCCGCGCCCCCGCCCCGGGGAACCGGGGAACCGAGCUCGUCUUGGCUGGGCUUCUAGCAAAAUCCUGGUCUUUGGAAUUUUUUCCAAACAGGGAGCUACUCCGUGCUGCCCGGGGGGUCCCGGCGGUGCGGAAGCCCACCUUCUUGGCGUGUCCCCCGGAAGUGGCUGCCUAUUGUCUGGUCUUAGAGUCGGGGUUUCAGCUUUUGUGGGAGGCCACAGUCUUCUAGGAAGGGGGCUUCUCCCUGUGGAGAGGGGGCCCCAUGUAUCUUCCAGAAGCGUCUCAGCAUCGCGCCUUCCCACUAAGCACCAUAGGAUGGGCCUGCCAGGACCCAGGGCCACCGGGCCGCUCAAGGAGCCACAUCUCUCGGUUUUCCGCGCCACGCCUCUGCAGAUUUCUGCCCCAGGAGUGUGUGAUCACCAAUUACUUUCUGAUCCAAAUGUGUUUCUCAAGCAGAAAAGGCUUCACAGAGCGAAGAGAAGCACGGCGUGGUGAGUGAUGCCUUAUGAGCAAGUCC
RNAcentral lists this long non-coding RNA (752 nucleotides) under Sus scrofa (pig). Its description in RNAcentral is "lncRNA (ENSSSCG00025004330.1)". Lineage: Eukaryota; Metazoa; Chordata; Mammalia; Artiodactyla; Suidae. The record is from RNAcentral.